GCCUCCAUCGUCUAGGGGACUAGGACGCAGCCCUUUCAAGGCUAAAACGCGAGUUCGAAUCUCGCUGGAGGCA
This 73-nucleotide transfer RNA is filed under the name Chloroflexota bacterium. RNAcentral's name for it is "Chloroflexi bacterium (anaerobic digester metagenome) tRNA-Glu". It matches the Rfam family "tRNA". Rfam says of the family: Transfer RNA (tRNA) molecules are approximately 80 nucleotides in length. Lineage: Bacteria; Bacillati; Chloroflexota. The record is from RNAcentral.